GCCACAUUGUUUGUUUAAGUGCUAUGGCUCUGGUUGCACCAAGACAUUUUUCAGGUAUGGUGCAUUUAAAACACACUUCUACCGCAAACACAACGUGCCGGAAUCUGAUGUUAAUGUUGCCGCUGUCGUUGGUGCUUACAGGUGCCCAGUUGCCUUGUGCAUCAAUCACAGCCAAACAAUCAAGGACCUUUUGGGUCAUCUGAAGAAACAUAUUGAGGAAGGACAUGAAGUAUGCUGUCCGAAAUGGACGACCGAGACGACAUCAAAAGUUCCAUUUCAACUGUUCUACCAGACCUCCCUGAAUCCAUUCUGAAUAUUGUGGAGGAGACACUGCAGUCUCUGGGAGUGGGGACCAUUGACGAUUUCCAAUUCGUCCAAGAGGCUGAUCUCCUGUGUGUUUUACGGCCAAUACAAGCAAGAAAACUUGUAGCUUCUUGGAAGCAAACCUCUCAGGGCCCUGGAACCCAAAGCCAGCCAGAUGUUAACUCUUCAACUUCAUCAUCCCUUCUCACCUCUUCUACCUCCUCUCGCUCCUCCCUGUCACCUUGUCCAUCACCCAGAAACCUGCUUAAU
This is a long non-coding RNA of Pygocentrus nattereri (red-bellied piranha), 573 nucleotides long. The record is from Ensembl. NCBI's taxonomy places the organism in Eukaryota, Metazoa, Chordata, Actinopteri, Characiformes, Serrasalmidae.